AUAUUUUGGCCAGCACAUAUUCUAAAAUUGGAACGAUACAGAGAAGAUUAGCAUGGCCCCUGUGUAAGGAUGACAAAAGGUGCAUAUGGUCCAAGUCCUG
Molecule: small nuclear RNA, 100 nt
Filed under: Castor canadensis (American beaver)
Lineage: Eukaryota; Metazoa; Chordata; Mammalia; Rodentia; Castoridae
Source: RNAcentral